AUGGAGUCUAAGGAUGCUACAUUCUUUGAGGAUAUUUUUCCUAUGAGAGAUAUGCAAAGCACUUCUAGACAGGAAUCUGAGGAGACUCCUGAACCUGCCAUCCCUAUGGAAUAUUAUGAACAAACACAUGAUGAAAAUCCCGAGGAGGAUGACGAGGAAACCCUUGGUAGGGGCAAGAGACAAAGGACUGCAAAGACCUUUGGUGAUGAUUUCUUCGUGUACCUCGUGGAUGAUACUCCCACUUCUCUUUCAGAAGCGUAUGCCUCUCCAGAAGCUGACUACUGGAAGGAUGCGGUCCGUAGCGAGAUGGAUUCCAUCAUGGCUAACGGGACAUGGGAGAUCACUGACCGUCCCUAUGGUUGCAAACCACUGGGAUGUAAGUGGGUGUUCAAAAAGAAGCUUAGGCCCGAUGGUACGAUUGAAAAGUACAAGGCUAGGCUUGUGGCCAAGGGCUAUGACCAGCAAGAAGAGGAAGAUUUCUUUGAUACUUAUUCACCUGUGGCUAGACUGACCACCAUUCGAGUAUUACUCUCUUUGGCGGCCUCACAUGGUCUUCUCGUCCAUCAGAUGGAUGUUAAGACGGCUUUUCUAAAUGGAGAGCUAAAGGAGGAAAUCUACAUGCAACAGCCUGAUGGCUUUGUGAUAGAUGGUCAGGAAAGAAAGGUGUGUAGGUUGAUAAAAUCUUUAUAUGGCCUGAAACAAGCACCUAAGCAAUGGCAUGAUAAGUUUAAUACAACCCUGACAUCUGUUGGUUUCGUUGUUAAUGAGGCUGACAAAUGUGUAUACUAUCGCCAUGGUGGGGGCGAAGGAGUUAUACUGUGCUUGUAUGUUGAUGACAUACUGAUAUUCGGAACAAACCUCAAAGUCAUUGAGGAGGUCAAAUCGUUUCUAUCUCAGAACUUUGAGAUGAAAGACCUUGGUGUGGCUGAUGUUAUCUUGAACAUCAAGCUACUGAGAGAUAAUGAGGGUGGGAUCACACUUCUGCAAUCCCAUUACGUUGAGAAGGUGUUGAGUCAUUUUGGAUAUUCAGACUGCACACCAUCUCAAACACCAUAUGAUCCUAGCGUAUUGAUUCGAAAGUCCAAAGGCAUGGCUAAAGAUCAAUUGAGAUACUCUCAAAUCAUUGGUUCACUGAUGUACCUAGCGAGCGCAACGAGGCCUGACAUCGCGUUUGCUGUGAGCAAACUGAGCCGGUUUGUUUCCAAACCGGGUGAUGUACAUUGGCAUGCUGUUGAGAGAGUUAUGCGCUAUCUGAAAGGUACUAUGAACUAUGGACUUCACUAUACCGGAUACCCGUCGGUACUUGAAGGGUAUAGUGAUGCGAAUUGGAUCUCUGAUGCUGAUGAGAUGAAGGCCACAACUGGGUAUAUGUUUACUCUUGGAGGUGGCGCUGUUUCCUGGAAGUCUUGCAAGCAAACGAUCUUAACGAGAUCGACAAUGGAAGCAGAAUUAACGGCAUUAGACACAUCUGGUGUUGAAGCGAGAUGGCUUCGAGAUCUUUUGAUGGACUUGCCAUUGGUUGAUAAACCGGUUCCGGCUAUCCUUAUGAACUGUGACAAUCAAACUGUCAUCACCAAGGUGAAGAGUUCAAAGGACAACAUGAAGUCCACCAAACACAUAAGAAUGAGAUUAAACGCUGUUAGAAAAUUAAGAAACUCCGGAGUGAUAGCGUUGGACUAUGUCCAUACGGCUAAGAAUCUGGCAGAUCCCUUUACAAAAGGGCUAUCACGUGUUGUGAUAGAUAAUGCAUCGAGGGAGAUGGGUAUGAGACCCACAUGA
RNAcentral lists this ribosomal RNA (1779 nucleotides) under Triticum aestivum (bread wheat). RNAcentral describes it as "partial small subunit ribosomal RNA". The record is from RNAcentral. Lineage: Eukaryota; Viridiplantae; Streptophyta; Magnoliopsida; Poales; Poaceae.